Molecule: ribosomal RNA, 403 nt
Filed under: uncultured bacterium
Lineage: Bacteria
Description: partial 16S ribosomal RNA
Rfam family: Bacterial small subunit ribosomal RNA
Source: RNAcentral
AUUGAACGCUGGCGGCAGGCCUAACACAUGCAAGUCGAACGAGCGGCGGACGGGGGAGUAAUGUAUGGGGACUGCCCGCUCGAGGGGGAUAACUACUGGAAACGGUAGCUAAUACCGCAUACUAUCGGAUAACCCAUAUGGGAUUAGCUAGUAGGUGAGGUAAUGGCUAACCUAGGCGACCAUCCCUAGCUGGUCUGAAAGGAUGAUCAGCCAAACUGGGACGAGGACACGGCCCAGACUCCUACGGAGGCAGCAGUGGGGAAUAUUGGACAAUGGGCGCAAGCCUGAUGCAGCCAUGCCGCGUGUAUGAAGAAGGCCCUAGGGUUGUAAAGUACUUUCAGUCGGGAGGCGUUACCGACAGAAGAAGCACCGGCUAACUCCGUGCCAGCAGCCGCGGUAAUAC